GCGCCCGUAGCUCAGCUGGAUAGAGCGUCUGGCUACGAACCAGAAGGCCGGGAGUUCGAAUCUCUCCGGGCGCACCA
This 77-nucleotide transfer RNA is filed under the name Rhizomicrobium sp. Its description in RNAcentral is "tRNA-Arg". It matches the Rfam family "tRNA". Rfam says of the family: Transfer RNA (tRNA) molecules are approximately 80 nucleotides in length. RNAcentral also lists the same sequence under 11 other names. Lineage: Bacteria; Pseudomonadati; Pseudomonadota; Alphaproteobacteria; Micropepsales; Micropepsaceae. The record is from RNAcentral.